This is a long non-coding RNA of Labrus mixtus (cuckoo wrasse), 1807 nucleotides long. RefSeq lists it as uncharacterized. The transcript has 2 exons. The record is from RefSeq and is a predicted model, not a curated record. Lineage: Eukaryota; Metazoa; Chordata; Actinopteri; Labriformes; Labridae.
GAAACCCUGUUGAUGAAUCAGAUGGGCUUAUCUACAGACCAAGUAUAAUACAUUCAAAUCUGUCUCAUGCUUACAAAACAGAAUAUAUGUUUUUAAAUCCGGCAAGGAAGACAUUUUUGGUGUGCUUGUUUUCGAUUCAAAUGCAAAUUCUGACUCAGAGAUAUUUGGUAGAUCUACUGCUGCAUGAAUUUGAGAAAAUCACAUGAAAAAGAUGGUGAUCCCAGAAUGCAUGCCAGUAAAAUGAAACAAGAAGUCUCAGCUUAGGGUAGGAAAAAACUCUACACAUGCCAUGAAUGUGUCAGUUUCCGAGCCAGCUACCACAAAGGACGGUCAAACACAAAGGCCAACAAAGUGCUACCAUGUAAUGUGAAGCUUAAAAGCUAACAUCUGACUGUCACUCACAAGAGGGAUGUUGCUUCCACUUAGCCUGACUGGUGUCAAACUGCAGGCAGUAAACUUUCUAUUAGGCUUCAACAUCAAAUAUGACAAAGACAUUAUGAUCACAUGUGAUGGGCAAACCAACUUUAGCAGAGGUCAACAGCUGCUUAAAGGGAUACUUCAAGGAGUUAAUAUUCCACUUAUGUUAAAUAGGGGAAGCUGCAAGACACAUUCAAAUAAGACUGAGAGUCUGCAGCCAUGCUACCAUCAGGCACAUGGUGCACACCAGCAUGCUAAUCAUGUUGAUAUCUGAGCUUUACUUUGUUUGGUAGCUUUUCUGAUCCAGAGAAAUGAACUAGCAUGCACACAACUAAGACUCGGAAACUGUCCAAAUGAAUGUGAGUCAGCCCUUGUUAACCUUUUUUACAUUUAAAAAAAGAAAAUAAAUCUGCACUGAAAUUUAUAAGGAUACAAACAAUGUCUGAGUUACAAAGUUCUGCUGUUCCACAGUAUUUGGCUAAAUAAACCUUUAAAUACAACGUCCUUAUUCCCUGAAAUAAAGUUCAGAAGAAGAAGCUGAAACUGAUUUGAUUUGCUGGUAAGGGAGUUAAGUCCAUUUUAAGGGACCGAGAAAAUAGUGCCUAUGGUCAAUAUGAUUGCUUCUUCAUUAAAAAAAUCUGUAUGCAUCAUAAAUUAGACAAAAAUGUUACACUAUAAAUCCACCUAUCAUCAUAACACUUAUCACAAAUGGGGCCACAGGGGUAUGAAGCCAAUCACAGCUGUUAUAUUAUAUUUGAAAAUACAUUUUAAUCAAUAAUCCUCAAUGACAAAAGGCAAACCGCCAAUAUACAUUUUUCACAGGUGUAUAUUGCAGUGACUUCUGUUACUUUGAAAGCUAUGGCAGGAUGGUUCCUGGGAGAAUGGUCUGCAGUGAGAAUCACUUCUGCACAGAAAUCCAACAGUUGUCUAAAAGUAAAGAAAAGUCACAGUUUGUUCUAUAGCUGUCAGUAGAAGAAACCUUAUUUUAUUACCUUCCAGUUUGGUAGAAGCAGAGUGGGAAUGAAUUGGACUGAAGGUACACAGUAACAGCUGUGCACUGGCACCAGAGCAUCCCCCCAGCUUGAGAAUUUAAUUAUACUCCUUAUUGAAAAUGAUGUGAUAUGGUGUCAUUUAUCAUGUUUUGAAGCUGCUUGUCAUCCUCCUCAUCUUUAUUUUCAGCACUCUAAAACAUACCUGCCCUCAGCUCCGGGCAUCUGUUGGCAUGGCAGCACGCACGCACGCACGCACGCACGCACGCACGCACGCACGCACAACCUUGCUUUUGCACUGGCACUGGAGCAAAUGUUUGCUUCAGCAGGGCUCAUUAAGUUGAGAUGCAUGAAUAUUGUUAGAUGCAAAUCCCAGCAGAAGUUGAUUCUUUGAAGAAAAA